RNAcentral lists this ribosomal RNA (402 nucleotides) under Verrucomicrobiota bacterium. Its description in RNAcentral is "Verrucomicrobia bacterium partial 16S ribosomal RNA". It matches the Rfam family "Bacterial small subunit ribosomal RNA", at positions 355 to 776 of the family's 1533-position model. Lineage: Bacteria; Pseudomonadati; Verrucomicrobiota. The record is from RNAcentral.
UGGGGAAUUUUGCACAAUGGGGGAAACCCUGAUGCAGCGACGCCGCGUGAUUUAGAAGGCCUUCGGGUUGUAAAAAUCUUUUUUAUGGGAUGAAAAUGACAGUACCAUAAGAAUAAGGUCCGGCUAAAUAAGUGCCAGCAGCCGCGGUAAUACGUAUGGACCGAGCGUUGUCCGGAAUCAUUGGGCGUAAAGGGUACGUAGGCGGCCCAGUAAGUUAGAAGUGAAAUAAUAUAGCUCAACUAUAGUAAGCUUUUAAAACUGCUCAUCUUGAGGUAUGGAAGGGAAAGUGGAAUUCCUAGUGUAGCGGUGAAAUGCGCAGAUAUUAGGAGGAAUACCGGUGGCGAAGGCGACUUUCUGGCCAUAUACUGACGCUGAGGUACGAAAGCGUGGGUAGCAAACAGG